AGUGUUCUUUGGAGUCCGGGGAAGUUUGGCCUUUAAAAAUCAAACUGCCAUGGACACUGCUUUACCCAAAAUUUUGGUUCACAUUCUUCACUGGAUUAACUAUUGGGGCAAACAACGUAUAACCAUGUAAAACCAGUACGCUUGUAUUGGCAUUUCAUGGCUAGAGUUCUAAGUCACAAGCACCUCUUCGGCAAAGCCCACCUCCCUCUCUCGCUUGAUUCCCCGGCCAUCCUUAUCAAAGACCUUCCAGGUGAACAGGCAGCCAUCCUCAGCAGCAGUCAGCAGGAACUGAUCAUCAAAGAAUCUUGCUCUGUUGCCCAGGCUGGAGUGUAGUGGUGCGAUCUCGGCUCACUGAAACCUCCGCCUCCCAGGUUCAAGCGAUUCUCCUGCCUCAGUCUCCCGAGUAGCUGGGACUACAGAAACUUGCAAAAAUAGCACAGAGAGAGUGGACUUCUGGAAUGGCACGGCAACAAAAUUCCCUACGGCAGCACCCAAAGGCUUGAAAUUAGCCAUUCCAAGUGUGUCCAAAAAACUAAAGGAAACCAUGAUUAAACAAGUAAAGGUAGAAAUGAUAUGCAUCAAAUAGAGAAGAAUAAAAGGAUCCCAUCAAUAUAGGGAUAGAACUGUAAGAAAAUAGAAAUUCUAGAGUUAAAAACUACAAUAACUGAAAUGAAAAAUCCACUAGAGGUGCUCAAGAAUAGAUCUGAACUGGCAGAAGAAUUAGUGAACUUU
Molecule: long non-coding RNA, 732 nt
Filed under: Homo sapiens (human)
Lineage: Eukaryota; Metazoa; Chordata; Mammalia; Primates; Hominidae
Description: non-protein coding lnc-EBNA1BP2-1:6
Source: RNAcentral